GAUGAACGCUGGCGGCGUGCCUAAUACAUGCAAGUCGAGCGAACGGACGAGAAGCUUGCUUCUCUGAUGUUAGCGGCGGACGGGUGAGUAACACGUGGAUAACCUACCUAUAAGACUGGGAUAACUUCGGGAAACCGUAGCUAAUGCCGGAUAAUAUUUUGAACCGCAUGGUUCAAAAGUGAAAGACGGUCUUGCUGUCACUUAUAGAUGGAUCCGCGCUGCAUUAGCUAGUUGGUAAGGUAACGGCUUACCAAGGCAACGAUGCAUAGCCGACCUGAGAGGGUGAUCGGCCACACUGGAACUGAGACACGGUCCAGACUCCUACGGGAGGCAGCAGUAGGGAAUCUUCCGCAAUGGGCGAAAGCCUGACGGAGCAACGCCGCGUGAGUGAUGAAGGUCUUCGGAUCGUAAAACUCUGUUAUUAGGGAAGAACAAAUGUGUAAGUAACUGUGCACAUCUUGACGGUACCUAAUCAGAAAGCCACGGCUAACUACGUG
Molecule: ribosomal RNA, 497 nt
Filed under: uncultured bacterium
Lineage: Bacteria
Description: partial 16S ribosomal RNA
Rfam family: Bacterial small subunit ribosomal RNA
Source: RNAcentral